This 222-nucleotide unclassified non-coding RNA is filed under the name Hevea brasiliensis (rubber tree). Lineage: Eukaryota; Viridiplantae; Streptophyta; Magnoliopsida; Malpighiales; Euphorbiaceae. The record is from RNAcentral.
GGGAGAACCAAGAGGCCACUCAACCAUAGUUUUCACAAUAAAUUGGGGGUGAAUUACAAAUGUGCUCCCCGUGAAAAGCCCUUUAGAAAAUAAUAAAGCAAUCAUCCCCGCCUUCUCCGCUCCAAAAUCUUCGAUCACGUUGCCGAUGGAUUCCCUGCGCAAAUCCUUCAAAACCUACACUCAGACAUCCUCCCGCCACCCACUCGACCAAGAGCAUCAGCC